Molecule: non-coding RNA, 197 nt
Filed under: Clostridia bacterium
Lineage: Bacteria; Bacillati; Bacillota; Clostridia
Description: 6S RNA
Rfam family: 6S / SsrS RNA
About the family: E. coli 6S RNA was the first non coding RNA to be sequenced, but its function was unknown until recently. It consists of 184 nucleotides that fold into an extended hairpin structure with a large single-stranded internal bulge.
Source: RNAcentral
ACUGUUCUGCCCUGUUCGCGGACGCCGUCUUAUAUAACCCUACAACCUUUUAAAAGGGAGCUUUGCUCGUUCAGUGGGAUUGCAGACCUCCCGCGGCUGUGCCGAGUUCGGAAGAAGGGAGCGCGAAGCUGUACGGCGGGCACCCACCUGCGUUUUUGCAGGUUAUUUUAAGCGCAUUACGGCAGGGUGGAACGAGA